RNAcentral lists this transfer RNA (72 nucleotides) under Phrynosoma platyrhinos (Desert horned lizard). Its description in RNAcentral is "tRNA-OTHER". Lineage: Eukaryota; Metazoa; Chordata; Lepidosauria; Squamata; Phrynosomatidae. The record is from RNAcentral.
UCCAGUGUAGUAUAGUGGUUUGAGUUUUGGACUACAAUUCUGGAAACCAGGGUUCAAAUCCCUGCUUGGCCA